UCUCCCUUAUCUGAUUUGGGUGACACACACAUGGAUUCAAUCCAUGUGGGUGCACCCCAUCACUUGAUCGAACAGCAUUGGGUGGCGUCAAUAUUUGGUGCCCCUACAAAGCUAACCUAAUUCGAUCAAAUUCAAACUUGGAUGAACCAACAUUUGAAACUCAAUUGGAGCUUGUACUAAAUUGAUUAAAUCCUAUCUAAUAUGACCCACAAUUAAGAAGGAGAAAAUGGGUUUAAUCAUAUGCUAGCAUGAUUUUCUUAAAUCCAAAGCUAGGACUCAAUAGCUCCA
Molecule: long non-coding RNA, 288 nt
Filed under: Elaeis guineensis (African oil palm)
Lineage: Eukaryota; Viridiplantae; Streptophyta; Magnoliopsida; Arecales; Arecaceae
Description: long non-coding RNA (EGUI_LNC012220)
Source: RNAcentral